This 587-nucleotide small RNA is filed under the name Pan troglodytes (chimpanzee). Its description in RNAcentral is "processed transcript". The record is from RNAcentral. Lineage: Eukaryota; Metazoa; Chordata; Mammalia; Primates; Hominidae.
GUUCUUAUUUCAUCUCUACCUCAGAGCUGCUGUGUAAACUUAGCUUGAAAUAAUGCUGGAGCCCAAGGUCUGGAGAGAAGCUGCUACUCAAGUGUUCUUUGCCUUAGGUCUGGGAUUUGGUGGUGUCAUUGCCUUUUCAAGCUACAACAAGAGAGACAACAACUGCCACUUUGAUGCUGUCCUGGUGUCCUUCAUCAAUUUUUUCACUUCUGUCCUGGCAACAUUGGUGGUGUUUGCAGUUCUGGGCUUCAAAGCAAAUGUCAUAAAUGAGAAAUGCAUUACACAAAAUUCAGAGACGAUCAUGAAAUUUUUGAAAAUGGGGAACAUUAGUCAGGAUAUUAUUCCCCAUCAUAUCAACCUUUCAACAGUUACUGCAGAAGAUUAUCAUUUAGUUUAUGACAUCAUUCAAAAAGUGAAAGAAGAAGAGUUUCCUGCUCUUCAUCUCAAUUCCUGUAAAAUUGAAGAAGAGCUAAAUAAAGCUGUUCAGGGGACCGGCUUAGCUUUUAUUGCCUUUACAGAAGCGAUGACACAUUUUCCUGCAUCUCCCUUCUGGUCAGUGAUGUUUUUCCUCAUGCUGGUCAAUCUAG